AAUGAACGCUGGCGGCAGGCCUAACACAUGCAAGUCGAACUGAUCCUUCGGGAUUAGUGGCGGACGGGUGAGUAACGCGUGGGAACAUACCCAAAGGUACGGAAUAGCCUCGGGAAACUGGGAGUAAUACCGUAUGUGCUCGAAAGAGGAAAGAUUUAUCGCCUUUGGAUUGGCCCGCGUUGGAUUAGGUAGUUGGUGGGGUAAUGGCCUACCAAGCCGACGAUCCAUAGCUGGUUUGAGAGGAUGAUCAGCCACACUGGGACUGAGACACGGCCCAGACUCCUACGGGACGCAGCAGUGGGGAAUCUUAGACAAUGGGGGAAACCCUGAUCUAGCCAUGCCGCGUGAUCGAUGAAGGCCUUAGGGUUGUAAAGAUCUUUCAGGUGGGAAGAUAAUGACUGUACCACCAGAAGAAGCCCCGGCUAACUCCGUGCCAGCAGCCGCGGUAA
Molecule: ribosomal RNA, 449 nt
Filed under: uncultured bacterium
Lineage: Bacteria
Description: partial 16S ribosomal RNA
Rfam family: Bacterial small subunit ribosomal RNA
Source: RNAcentral